RNAcentral lists this ribosomal RNA (2923 nucleotides) under Klebsiella pneumoniae. Its description in RNAcentral is "23S ribosomal RNA". It matches the Rfam family "Bacterial large subunit ribosomal RNA". Lineage: Bacteria; Pseudomonadati; Pseudomonadota; Gammaproteobacteria; Enterobacterales; Enterobacteriaceae. The record is from RNAcentral.
GGGUUGUGAGGUUAAGCGACUAAGCGUACACGGUGGAUGCCCUGGCAGUCAGAGGCGAUGAAGGACGUGCUAAUCUGCGAAAAGCGUCGGUAAGGUGAUAUGAACCGUUAUAACCGGCGAUGUCCGAAUGGGGAAACCCAGUGCAAUUCGUUGCACUAUCGUUAACUGAAUACAUAGGUUAACGAGGCGAACCGGGGGAACUGAAACAUCUAAGUACCCCGAGGAAAAGAAAUCAACCGAGAUUCCCCCAGUAGCGGCGAGCGAACGGGGAGCAGCCCAGAGUCUGAAUCAGCUUGUGUGUUAGUGGAACGGUCUGGAAAGUCCGACGGUACAGGGUGAUAGUCCCGUACACCAAAAUGCACAGGUUGUGAACUCGAAGAGUAGGGCGGGACACGUGGUAUCCUGUCUGAAUAUGGGGGGACCAUCCUCCAAGGCUAAAUACUCCUGACUGACCGAUAGUGAACCAGUACCGUGAGGGAAAGGCGAAAAGAACCCCGGCGAGGGGAGUGAAAAAGAACCUGAAACCGUGUACGUACAAGCAGUGGGAGCACCUUCGGGUGUGACUGCGUACCUUUUGUAUAAUGGGUCAGCGACUUAUAUUCUGUAGCAAGGUUAACCGUAUAGGGGAGCCGCAGGGAAACCGAGUCUUAACUGGGCGUUAAGUUGCAGGGUAUAGACCCGAAACCCGGUGAUCUAGCCAUGGGCAGGUUGAAGGUUGGGUAACACUAACUGGAGGACCGAACCGACUAAUGUUGAAAAAUUAGCGGAUGACUUGUGGCUGGGGGUGAAAGGCCAAUCAAACCGGGAGAUAGCUGGUUCUCCCCGAAAGCUAUUUAGGUAGCGCCUCGUGAAUUCAUCUUCGGGGGUAGAGCACUGUUUCGGCUAGGGGGUCAUCCCGACUUACCAACCCGAUGCAAACUACGAAUACCGAAGAAUGUUAUCACGGGAGACACACGGCGGGUGCUAACGUCCGUCGUGAAGAGGGAAACAACCCAGACCGCCAGCUAAGGUCCCAAAGUCAUGGUUAAGUGGGAAACGAUGUGGGAAGGCACAGACAGCCAGGAUGUUGGCUUAGAAGCAGCCAUCAUUUAAAGAAAGCGUAAUAGCUCACUGGUCGAGUCGGCCUGCGCGGAAGAUGUAACGGGGCUAAACCAUGCACCGAAGCUGCGGCAGCGACACUAUGUGUUGUUGGGUAGGGGAGCGUUCUGUAAGCCUGCGAAGGUGUGCUGUGAGGCAUGCUGGAGGUAUCAGAAGUGCGAAUGCUGACAUAAGUAACGAUAAAGCGGGUGAAAAGCCCGCUCGCCGGAAGACCAAGGGUUCCUGUCCAACGUUAAUCGGGGCAGGGUGAGUCGACCCCUAAGGCGAGGCCGAAAGGCGUAGUCGAUGGGAAACAGGUUAAUAUUCCUGUACUUGGUGUUACUGCGAAGGGGGGACGGAGAAGGCUAUGUUAGCCGGGCGACGGUUGUCCCGGUUUAAGCAUGUAGGCUGGUUAUCCAGGCAAAUCCGGAUAAUCAAGGCUGAGGUGUGAUGACGAGGCACUACGGUGCUGAAGUAACAAAUGCCCUGCUUCCAGGAAAAGCCUCUAAGCAUCAGGUAACAUCAAAUCGUACCCCAAACCGACACAGGUGGUCAGGUAGAGAAUACCAAGGCGCUUGAGAGAACUCGGGUGAAGGAACUAGGCAAAAUGGUGCCGUAACUUCGGGAGAAGGCACGCUGGUGUGUAGGUGAAGUCCCUGCGGAUGGAGCUGAGACCAGUCGAAGAUACCAGCUGGCUGCAACUGUUUAUUAAAAACACAGCACUGUGCAAACACGAAAGUGGACGUAUACGGUGUGACGCCUGCCCGGUGCCGGAAGGUUAAUUGAUGGGGUUAUCCGUAAGGAGAAGCUCUUGAUCGAAGCCCCGGUAAACGGCGGCCGUAACUAUAACGGUCCUAAGGUAGCGAAAUUCCUUGUCGGGUAAGUUCCGACCUGCACGAAUGGCGUAAUGAUGGCCAGGCUGUCUCCACCCGAGACUCAGUGAAAUUGAACUCGCUGUGAAGAUGCAGUGUACCCGCGGCAAGACGGAAAGACCCCGUGAACCUUUACUAUAGCUUGACACUGAACAUUGAGCCUUGAUGUGUAGGAUAGGUGGGAGGCUUUGAAGCGUGGACGCCAGUCUGCGUGGAGCCAACCUUGAAAUACCACCCUUUAAUGUUUGAUGUUCUAACGUUGGCCCCUGACCGGGGUUGCGGACAGUGUCUGGUGGGUAGUUUGACUGGGGCGGUCUCCUCCCAAAGCGUAACGGAGGAGCACGAAGGUUAGCUAAUCCUGGUCGGACAUCAGGAGGUUAGUGCAAUGGCAUAAGCUAGCUUGACUGCGAGCGUGACGGCGCGAGCAGGUGCGAAAGCAGGUCAUAGUGAUCCGGUGGUUCUGAAUGGAAGGGCCAUCGCUCAACGGAUAAAAGGUACUCCGGGGAUAACAGGCUGAUACCGCCCAAGAGUUCAUAUCGACGGCGGUGUUUGGCACCUCGAUGUCGGCUCAUCACAUCCUGGGGCUGAAGUAGGUCCCAAGGGUAUGGCUGUUCGCCAUUUAAAGUGGUACGCGAGCUGGGUUUAGAACGUCGUGAGACAGUUCGGUCCCUAUCUGCCGUGGGCGCUGGAGAAUUGAGGGGGGCUGCUCCUAGUACGAGAGGACCGGAGUGGACGCAUCACUGGUGUUCGGGUUGUCAUGCCAAUGGCACUGCCCGGUAGCUAAAUGCGGAAGAGAUAAGUGCUGAAAGCAUCUAAGCACGAAACUUGCCCCGAGAUGAGUUCUCCCUGAGACUAUAAGUCUCCUGAAGGAACGUUAAAGACGAUGACGUUGAUAGGCCGGGUGUGUAAGCGCAGCGAUGCGUUGAGCUAACCGGUACUAAUGAACCGUGAGGCUUAACCUUACAACGCCGAAG